GGUUUGAUUAUGGCUCAGAUUGAACGCUGGCGGGAUGCUUUACAUGCAAGUCAGACGGCAGCACGGACUUCAGUCUGGUGGCGAGUAGCGAACGGGUGAGUAAUGUAUCGGAACGUGCCUAGUAGCGGGGAUAACUACGCGAAAGCGUAGCUAAUACCGCAUACGCCCUUCGGGGGAAAGCGGGGGACCUUCGGGCCUCGCACUAUUAAACAGCCGAUAUCGGAUUAGCUAGUUGGUGGGGUAACGGCUCACCAAGGCGACGAUCCGUAGCUGGUUUGAGAGGACGACCAGCCACACUGGGACUGAGACACGGCCCAGACUCUGCAGGAGGCAGCAGUGGGGAAUUUUGGACAAUGGGGAGGAAACCCUGAUCCAGCCAUCCCGCGUGUGCGAUGAAGGCCUUCAGUUUGUAAGCACUUUGGCAGGAAAGGCGGCACGGGAUAAUACCCGUGCAACUGACGAAAUGCCUGCAGAAUAAGCACCGGCUAACUACGUGCCAGCAGCCGCGGUAAUACGUAGGGUGCAAGCGUUAAUCGGAAUUACUGGGCGUAAAGCGUGCGCAGGCGGUUCGGAAAGAAGAUGUAAGGAAAUCAGAGCUUAACUUUGGAACUGCAUUUUUAACUACCGAGCUAGAGUGUGUCAGGGAGGUGGAAUUCCGCGUAUAGCAGUGAAAUGCGUAGAUAUGCGGAGAACACCGAUGGCGAAGGCAGCCUCUGGGAUAACACUGACGCUCAUGCACGAAAGCGUGGGGAGCAAACGAGUUAGAUGCCCUGGUAGUCCACGCCCUAAACGAUGUCAACUAGCUGUUUGGGGCCUUCGGGCCUUGGUAGCGCAACUAACGCGUG
This 845-nucleotide unclassified non-coding RNA is filed under the name uncultured Bordetella sp. Its description in RNAcentral is "partial 16S-23S ribosomal RNA intergenic spacer". It matches the Rfam family "Bacterial small subunit ribosomal RNA", at positions 10 to 861 of the family's 1533-position model. Lineage: Bacteria; Pseudomonadati; Pseudomonadota; Betaproteobacteria; Burkholderiales; Alcaligenaceae. The record is from RNAcentral.